GGCUCGUUGGUCUAGGGGUAUGAUUCUCGCUUAGGAUGCGAGAGGUCGAAGGUUCAAAUCCCGAAGAUCCU
Molecule: transfer RNA, 71 nt
Filed under: Alosa alosa (allis shad)
Lineage: Eukaryota; Metazoa; Chordata; Actinopteri; Clupeiformes; Clupeidae
Description: tRNA-OTHER
Source: RNAcentral